GCAGUAGAUUUUCUCCUAUUCUGUCGGUUGCCUUUUCACUCUGAUGGUAGUUUCUUUUGCUGUGCAGAAGAAAGUGCUGGGAUUACAGGCAUGAGCCACUGCACCCAGCCUGCUUAUGACACAUUUCUAAAAGAAUCGCUGGGUCAAAUGCACAUGGCUCAAGGCUUUUGAUACAUAUUGCCAAACUGCACUCUAGAAAAGUGCUGCCAACAUACACUCUCAGCAAUAUAAGCAGCCCUGUUUCUCUGAAUCCUUGCCAGUAUUAUCAAGAAAUAACCACUUGUUAAAAUAGUGCCUGAAGACUAAAUUAAUGUUUAACAUGUUUUGUCACUCAUAAGUUGGGCUUACUAUUAAACUUUUAACUGUUAUAGUAUUACCAUUCAAAGCUUACACAUAUUUAAGAUGAAGAAACUGAGGUCUAGUAAAUUAUAAUUCAGACCCCUUUUAGUGUGAAUUUUAGCCCUGGAUAUACUGCAGUGCAGUCUUUUUUUUUUUAACUUGUACUAGCCUUACAGAUUUCCCAGAAAAAGGUAGACAUCUUCUUUAUUAAGUUGGAGGUCAGGAAUAUCCUAUUAGUUUAGUACUGUUUUUCCUGUUUCCUAGAUUGGAUUUUACAAAUUUUGUGUUAAGGAUAUCUGUUGACAUUUACUCAUUUAUUAUUUAAAAAGUCUAGCUAAUCUUGGAUAAGAAUUUUGUUGAUUCAUUCACUCACUAAUUUAACAGCAUUUAUCUAAUGCCUACCAUGUGUGAAGGAUAAAGUAGUGGAAAAAAACAGGUGUAGUUUAUAUUUUUGUAGGGUGAAGGGAGGUAGAAAAUAAACAGUGAAUAAACAAGAUAAUGAUAAAUUAUAAAUGCUAUUAAGAAAAUAGAGGGGCACGUGAUUGACAGAGAAUAAAUGGGAACGUGAGCUAUUUUAGAUACGGUGGCCAGGGAAGGCCUGUCAGAGAUAUUUGGGUUAACCUGAAGGAAGAGAAUGAGUCAGCCAUAUCCAAGACAGAAGACCACAUCCCAGGCAGAAAAAAAAUAAAUAAAUAAAAAAUAAAAAGCAAGUGCAAAGGCCCUGAGACAGAGUAUCAGGUAAGAUUAAAUUCAGUUGAGAACAAGAGACUCCAAAAUAGUGGCUUUAAUAAUAUAGACAUUUACGACUGCAGGGCUAGCAUGGUGCUCUGAUCCAUAAAGUUCUCACAGACCCUGGUUUCCACCAGUUUAGUUUUGCCAUCCCUAGAAUGAGAGAACUUGCAUGAGGCACAAAUUGGCAGCUACAGUUCUAAGCCAUCACAUCUAUAUUCCACGGUACAGGAUAAAGGAAAAGCCGCAUUGAAGGUGUGCACCAACUAUCUUUUAAGGAUGGUUUUACAAGUGUGCCACAUGAUAUACUGCUUACAUCCCAUCAGCCAGCACUAUUACAUGGCUACAAGGAAGGCUGCAAAAUAUAGUCUUUGUUCUGGGUAGCCAUGUAUCCAUGUCUAUUACUAUGAAAAAAAUGGAGGAAUUUUUGGGGACAACUAACAGACUCUGCUACAGACUAGAAAAAGCACAGCCCACGACAGAAAGGAGGCAGUAAGAAGGGUGAGAACAACUUCCUGUGCUGCUUCCUGGGAAGAUGGAGAAGUGGGCAGGAGCCAGAUUAUGCAGUCUUGAAGGCUAUGGUAAGGAAUUCCGAUUUCAUUCUGUGUGCAUAAGGAAGCUAUUGGAGGGUUUUAAACAAGGGAGUGACAUAACCUAAUAACAUUUUUUAAGUGAUUGCUUUGGUUGGUAUAUAGAGAAUGGUUUAAAUGGGAAAAUAUUCAUGAGGGUACAGAUAGAAAGUGAUAGCAACUAGUGUGGUUAUUGCUGUGGUCCAGCAACAGAUGAUGGUGGCUCCCAAGGGUUGUACCAGUGGAAGUGAUAAGUAGCUAAAUUCAGAAUGUAUUUGUCAGGAAGAACUGAUGGUACUGUCUGAUGAGUUGUAUGAGUGUGAAGAAUCAGAAAAUUCCAAGUUUUAUGCCUGAGCAAAUAAGUGAAUGGUGGUACUAUUUAUGAAAAUCAGGAAUUCUAAAGGAGCAGCAGAUUUAGGGAAUGAACAAAGGGGAUUCAAAUGUUGUUUCAGACACAUUAGAGAAGCCUGUCCUUUUUAUCCCUUGCCAUGGCAAAAUUUUCAAUACCAUCCAUAUUUUUCUAAAAAUGGGUGGCCUCCUUCUUCUACAAGUUAUACACAAACUCAUUCUUCCCUUAAUAGGGUAUUUUUUUUCCCUCAACGUCUGUAAUUUUUAAAUAAAGUGUACAGAGAAUUUAACAUAAUACAUAUUUUGGAAAUAUACAAAACAUGUGCCUAUUAGUAAGGACUACUUUUCAGGUAAAAGUAAGAAAAUCUAGUAAGAUAGUUAAAAGAAACCAAACUACCAAAUGGGCAAACUUAAUCAACAUUACCAAUAAAGAUGAACUUUUUG
Molecule: long non-coding RNA, 2429 nt
Filed under: Homo sapiens (human)
Lineage: Eukaryota; Metazoa; Chordata; Mammalia; Primates; Hominidae
Description: HSALNT0191205
Source: RNAcentral